GGAUCAUUAAUGGGUUACUGGCCUCCGGGCCUCAAUCCCCACCCUUCAAAACCGCGGCCAAGGUUCGGCGCUCAGGCGAGGCACCCCCCGUUCGCGGAGGGGGCCAUCGCCCGCCGGAAUCUCGCAAACCCUGCCUGAAAAUUGCAGUCUGAGAAAAUGAUAAAUUAGCGAAAACUUUCAACAACGGAUCUCUUGGUUCUGGCAACGAUGAAGAACGCAGCGAAAUGCGAUAAGUAAUGUGAAUUGCAGAAUUCAGUGAAUCAUCGAAUCUUUGAACGCACAUUGCGCCCCCUGGUAUUCCGGGGGGCACGCCUGUUCGAGCGCCAUUUCAACCCUCGAGCCCUGCUCGGUGAUGGGCCCCGUCCGUAGUGGACCGGCCUGAAACCAGUGGGCGCCGACGUCCGGCCCUGAGCGUAGCAAGAGAAAUCCCUCGCUCGGUGGCCCGUCCGGCGGUAGCCCCGACACAAACUCACUAGGUUGGCCUC
Molecule: ribosomal RNA, 485 nt
Filed under: Pleosporales sp. EXP0319F
Lineage: Eukaryota; Fungi; Ascomycota; Dothideomycetes; Pleosporales
Description: eukaryotic LSU rRNA
Rfam family: 5.8S ribosomal RNA (bases 173-326)
Source: RNAcentral